CGUGUAGGCGGCCUUGCAAGUUGGGUGUGAAAGCCCUCGGCUUAACCGAGGAAGUGCGCCCAAAACUACGAGGCUUGAGUGCCGGAGAGGGUGGCGGAAUUCCCGGUGUAGAGGUGAAAUUCGUAGAUAUCGGGAGGAACACCAGUGGCGAAGGCGGCCACCUGGACGGUAACUGACGCUGAGACGCGAAAGCGUGGGGAGCAAACA
This 207-nucleotide ribosomal RNA is filed under the name uncultured delta proteobacterium. Its description in RNAcentral is "partial 16S ribosomal RNA". It matches the Rfam family "Bacterial small subunit ribosomal RNA", at positions 568 to 774 of the family's 1533-position model. The record is from RNAcentral. Lineage: Bacteria; Deltaproteobacteria.